CAAAGAAAGACUGUACCCGGCGUCCCUUCCUCUCAUCAGGCAGCUAUCUCGAGCUCAUUGAACACUAACUUUCUUCUUUUUCUUUUCUAAUCGUCGAAAUUCUCUCAAUUGUGCCCCCGCUGCCAUUGGAGCACUCUCUGAUACGUGUUCUGGAAUUCUCCAAUUCAGUGGAGUGGGGCUUACCUUGAAGCGGAUUCCAAUGUCAUAGCCUUU
RNAcentral lists this long non-coding RNA (213 nucleotides) under Nicotiana benthamiana. RNAcentral describes it as "long non-coding RNA (NBEN_LNC006291)". The record is from RNAcentral. Lineage: Eukaryota; Viridiplantae; Streptophyta; Magnoliopsida; Solanales; Solanaceae.